GAAGAAUCAAAUCAAGCCAAGAGAAGAUGCAAAGUCCUCGAUGCAGCCAGCUUAAUCAACUCCUUCGGCUUCUGCAGACGAAUGGGGUUACAGAAUAGUUCAGUUUGGAUGAGCAGGUUAUAUAAAUGGGAAAUGAUUCAAGUUUGUGGUGUCGUCUUCUCUAUUCUCUAAGUGGGUAUUAGGUUCGUCCACAGCAGAUAUGAUAAUAUAUAUACAUAUAUAUAAAUGAAAGAGCAGUGUUAGCUACUUCUGAAAUAAUGUUGUGGUACGUGGUCUAAAAAUGGACUUGUAGAAGAUAGGAAUUUAAUUACCAAGCACUUUGUAAUGCCCUUAUAUCACUAGACAUGUUGUUAGAAUCCUAAAAAAGCUAGCAUGCAAUAUCUCUUCUUUGCCGCAGACACAGUAAUGUUUUCACAUAUACUGUGAAAAAUAGAUUAAUUAAGCCUUCAACUUUCAUGUUAUAAUUAGAUGAGUUGUAAUUAUUAGUU
This 488-nucleotide unclassified non-coding RNA is filed under the name Hevea brasiliensis (rubber tree). Lineage: Eukaryota; Viridiplantae; Streptophyta; Magnoliopsida; Malpighiales; Euphorbiaceae. The record is from RNAcentral.